RNAcentral lists this ribosomal RNA (449 nucleotides) under uncultured bacterium. RNAcentral describes it as "partial 16S ribosomal RNA". It matches the Rfam family "Bacterial small subunit ribosomal RNA", at positions 354 to 796 of the family's 1533-position model. The record is from RNAcentral.
GUCGAGAAUCUUUCACAAUGGGGGCAACCCUGAUGGAGCGACGCCGCGUGGAGGAUAAGGUCUUCGGAUUGUAAACUCCUGUCAUGCGUGAACAAGGUUGCUUGGUUAAUACCUGGGCAAAUUGAUGGUAACGCAAGAGGAAGAGACGGCUAACUCUGUGCCAGCAGCCGCGGUAAUACAGAGGUCUCAAGCGUUGUUCGGAAUCACUGGGCGUAAAGGGUGCGUAGGUGGCGUGGUAAGUCAGAUGUUAAAGCCCGGGGCUCAACCUCGGAACUGCAACCGAUACUGCCAUGCUAGAGUACUGGAGAGGUGACUAGAAUUCUCGGUGUAGCAGUGAAAUGCGUAGAUAUCGAGAGGAAUACCAAAGGCGUAGGCAGGUCACUGGACAGUUACUGACACUGAGGCACGAAGGCCAGGGGAGCGAACGGGAUUAGAUACCCGGGUAGUCC